Heterocephalus glaber (naked mole-rat) is the source of this 595-nucleotide long non-coding RNA. Lineage: Eukaryota; Metazoa; Chordata; Mammalia; Rodentia; Bathyergidae. The record is from Ensembl.
GUCGGGCUAGGAGUGUGGGGGUGCUCCCAGCUCAGGUGGGAUGGGGGUGACCAGGUUCAGCUCAUGGAGUCUGGGAGUAGGCGGAGACAGCUGGGGGGCAGAGGAGGCACCACUCAGAGGAGCGGGAGGAAAACAGAUAGGUCAAGACAGGCCAUUUCCUGGCCCCGGAGCAGACCCUGUGGGUGAGCAGGGAAGUUCCCGGAAGGAAGGAGGGGAUGGAGUACCAGAUCCCGCCAAGAAUGAGUCUUGCUCAGGUGGCCAGGGACCUCUGGAACCAACCAGCUAGGAGGAAGCUGGGAAGGGGACUGGGCCAUCCUGGAAGUGUGGCCACAGUCACUGUCACCUUUCAAAAGCACUUGCUGGCACCUUCUGAAAAGCCUCACCAUGUCCUUUCUGUACCCUGGGAGUUGCCCCAUGGCUGGAGCCAGGUACUGGCUGACCUUGGCAUGACCUCCAAUCCUCUACUUCAUCAUCUGUAAAAUGGUGACCCUAAUAACCGCUACCUAGAAGAGUACUGAGAUGGCGCACCCAGAGUCCCUAGAAUUCUGGACAGGUCUGGGAGAAUCAUGACAUUAUGUAAGAUAAGGGACCUCAG